RNAcentral lists this ribosomal RNA (301 nucleotides) under uncultured bacterium. RNAcentral's name for it is "partial 16S ribosomal RNA". It matches the Rfam family "Bacterial small subunit ribosomal RNA", at positions 509 to 807 of the family's 1533-position model. The record is from RNAcentral.
CAGUAGCCGCGGUAAUACCGAGGGUGCGAGCGUUAAUCGGAUUUACUGGGCGUAAAGCGUGCGUAGGCGGCUUUUUAAGUCGGAUGUGAAAUCCCUGAGCUUAACUUAGGAAUUGCAUUCGAUACUGGGAAGCUAGAGUAUGGGAGAGGAUGGUAGAAUUCCAGGUGUAGCGGUGAAAUGCGUAGAGAUCUGGAGGAAUACCGAUGGCGAAGGCAGCCAUCUGGCCUAAUACUGACGCUGAGGUACGAAAGCAUGGGGAGCAAACAGGAUUAGAUACCCGUGUAGUCCCUGUCUCUUAUAC